Molecule: ribosomal RNA, 257 nt
Filed under: Campylobacter coli
Lineage: Bacteria; Pseudomonadati; Campylobacterota; Epsilonproteobacteria; Campylobacterales; Campylobacteraceae
Description: partial 16S ribosomal RNA
Rfam family: Bacterial small subunit ribosomal RNA
Source: RNAcentral
UUUUAUGGAGAGUUUGAUCCUGGCUCAGAGUGAACGCUGGCGGCGUGCCUAAUACAUGCAAGUCGAACGAUGAAGCUUCUAGCUUGCUAGAAGUGGAUUAGUGGCGCACGGGUGAGUAAGGUAUAGUUAAUCUGCCCUACACAAGAGGACAACAGUUGGAAACGACUGCUAAUACUCUAUACUCCUGCUUAACACAAGUUGAGUAGGGAAAGUUUUUCGGUGUAGGAUGAGACUAUAUAGUAUCAGCUAGUUGGUAA